UAGGGAAUCUUCCGCAAUGGACGCAAGUCUGACGGAGCAACGCCGCGUGAGUGAAGAAGGAUUUCGGUUCGUAAAACUCUGUUGUUAGAGAAGAACAGCGCAUAGAGUAACUGUUAUGCGUGUGACGGUAUCUAACCAGAAAGCCACGGCUAACUACGUGCCAGCAGCCGCGGUAAUACGUAGGUGGCAAGCGUUGUCCGGAUUUAUUGGGCGUAAAGCGAGCGCAGGCGGUCAAUUAAGUCUGAUGUGAAAGCCCCCGGCUCAACCGGGGAGGGUCAUUGGAAACUGGUUGACUUGAGUGCAGAAGAGGAGAGUGGAAUUCCAUGUGUAGCGGUGAAAUGCAUAGAUAUAUGGAGGAACACCGGUGGCGAAAGCGGCUCUCUUGUCUGUAACUGACGCGGAGGCUCGAAAGCGUGGGGAGCGAACAGG
This 429-nucleotide ribosomal RNA is filed under the name Bacteroidota bacterium. RNAcentral's name for it is "Bacteroidetes bacterium partial 16S ribosomal RNA". It matches the Rfam family "Bacterial small subunit ribosomal RNA", at positions 355 to 776 of the family's 1533-position model. The record is from RNAcentral. Lineage: Bacteria; Pseudomonadati; Bacteroidota.